AGCACAAGACAUCCUGACCUUCAAGGGAGGGAGGAACACCUUGAGAGGAGUUGAGAUCCUGCUUUCUCUUCAGAAUGCCAUCUCUAGGAUGCCAAUGGGCUGUGUCUACAGUACUAUGUAGGAAAGUGCUGCAAGAGUUCUUUCUGUCACCUCUCUGAAGACCUGGUUCAUAUCUGCAGCUGCAACUCUAUCCCUGAACUCAUCUUUGAAACUACCCAGAGAUAGACUGUCAAGAGCUUCAGAGCUUUACAACAGGAUCUUCCAAGUGCCCUGAGAGGUCAUGAUGGAGCCAAUAGAAAUAAAUCAUACAAAACAAAGCCAGAACCUGGUGGGAGGGAUGCUUACAAAACAACAUAAACGAGAAGUUGUCUGAAAAAAAAUUGUAUGGAAGGAAGAAGAGAUGAGAUAAGGGAAAUGAACUCAUAAUAGCCCCAGUUAAAAUACUUACAGUAAAAUAUCAUUAGUACUACUUGAUGUUGGUGAAAGGCUCUAGACUCAAGUCAGAAGGCCCAAUUUGUUGCUGUGAUUUCUUGAACAAAUUAUGUAAUUGUGUUGAGAUUCAGUUUUCUUUUCUAUCAUUGGGUAUUAAUAACUUCUAUGUGAUGUCAGAGUUAUGAUGUGAAGUUAAAAUAACUAAUAAAUGGGUAAACCCUGAAAAUUUGAUAGAAUUUUGUGAAUGAGAGAAUCUUACAAAUACAGUACCUGAAACCAAAAGAAUUAAGUCUCAGCUUGAGGAAUAUCAGAUACUAGGGCAGGCUAAUGGGAUAAAGGUCUCAUUGAUCUGCCACCUUCAGUCACACUGAAAUGGGGCUAUAUUUUUUUUAUUUACUUACCUACCAGUACUGCCAAUAGUCAAAAUAGUACUACUUUCCAAGUUAUUUAACUUUUUUAGUAUAACAGAAAAAAAAAUCAUUUCUAGUUUUCAAGGCAUGGAUUCAAUGAGUAAUAUAGAUUUAUAUCACUUGGUGAAGACAUGGCAAUUUCCCUGAUACCACUGAAAAAUAAAUUUAAAAAUGCUAUUUGAUACCUUCUUUAAAAGCUUUUUUUGUUUGUUUCUUUGCUGAAAUGGCAAGGAUUGAAGAUAAUUGGAUUUACAAAACAACAUAGCAAGAGCUCCCAAUUUCAGUAUUGUGACAGGUCCAUUGAUAAAACCUGCUCAGGCAGAGACCAAGUUGGAAGGAAGGAUAGGUUAUUAUUUUAGUUCUCCUGAGGUAAAAUAAAUAUUCUUAAAAACGUGCAUCCAUCCAUCCUCUUUUAAGUAGAGAGGUCAUCAGUCUCUUUCCUUAUUAAAAUGAGCACAAACUGAACAUGCAUAGAUUGAUUCUCUCUAUUCAGUUGCAGUUUGAAACUUAGCCUGCUACACAUUUUAACAGAAUUUUCUACACAUUUUAACAGACACACACUUUCUACACAUUUUUAACAGAAGCAUUUUAACAGACAUUUCUCAAUGUGGCUCUCUGACUUUAUGACAUCAGAGGAAGCAGUCUUCAACCUGGUAAAAAACGUAAAGAAAAUGCAAUGUCUACUUAUAAACUUAACAAGAAUAUCAAUGACAACUAUUUUACCAAUGAAUUUAAAGAUUUGGAGAUUUCACAUAAUAGCCAGUAGCUCUUUGACAUAAAUAUAAAGCUAUAUAAUCCACAAUUCCAUUCUUUGCUUAUUUUAUGUUUUUCUGAAGUAGUUAUUGAGCACCUAUUGUGUGUAAAGAGCUGGAAUGGACAUAAGAAUACAGAAUGGCAAUAGGUUCAAAGAAUGCCAAGUACAGGAAGAGGAAAGAUGCUGAGUUCUUGUCUGGAUUUGACUUUAAUUAGUUUUAUGACCUUGGUUAAGUCACUUCUCCCAUGUAAAUCAUUGAACACUUUUUUAUUGAGGGCUUCCCAUAGGUAGAAACAAGAAUGACUGAGGAACAAAUAAACCCGGCCUCAGCCUUUGUGGAACUGACAUGGUAGUGGGUAAGAUAAAUAUUAAAGAAUUAAACACAUAAACAAAUAUAAGUAAAGAUUAUAUAAAGUGUAACCAAAAGUAAAUAAUGUUAAAGAAUUUUUAAACAUUGAGCUUCUGAUUCAAUCGGCCAGUCAUGGAAUACUUAUCCGAGGAAGCAAAAUUUAGACUGAUACUUGAAGGAAGAAAGAUUGCUGGGUGUAAAUAACAAACGUGGAAGCGUAACAGAUCUGAGGAAGUUCAGGCCAGUGUGGUUGAAACGCAGAGACCAAACGGAAGAAGGCAAAGGAUGAGACUUACUAACCAGACACUGCCCAAAUCCUGCAAGGCCUUACAGACAUGGUACUUGCACUGGGACUACUAAAAGAAACAACUUUACCCAUGAAGAAUGCAGAAAAGCAAGGCAGGAUGGUGGCCCACCCUGGAAGGACAUGGAGCCAAGGGAGCCUCCCCCAUCCAGGGAGGUGGUGAGUGAAUGCUGUGGCCCUGGGAACCCACGCUUCUCCCAUGGGUCUUCGUACCCUUGGGUCAGGAGAUCCCCUCGUGGACCCACUCCACCAGGGCCUUCAGUCUGACACACAGAACUAUGUGGAGUCUCAUCAGAGCAGCCAUUGAGUUUGCCGAGAAUGAUGGUUUCCAGCUUCAUCCAUGUCCCUGCAAAAGACAUGAACUCAUCAUUUUUUAUGGCUCCACAGUAUUCUAUGGUGUGUAUGUGCCACAUUUUCUUUAUCCAGUCUAUUGUUGAUGGGCAUUUGGGUUGGUUCCAAGUCUUUGCUACUGUGAACAGUGCUGCAAUAAACAUAUGUGUGCAUGUGUCUUUAUAGUAGAAUGAUUUAUAAUCCUUUGGGUAUAUACCCAGUAAUGGGAUUGCUGAGUCAAAUGGCAUUUCUGGUUCUAGAUCCUUGAGGAAUUGCCACAGUGUCUUCCACAAUGGUUGAACUAAUUUUCUUUCUUGGGGUUUGUGGAACUUCUUAGAUGUGUGAGGUUAUAAUUUUCAUCAAAUUUAAACAGUUUUCAGCCACUAUGUCUGAAAAUAUUUCUUUUCUGUCCUCACCAUUGCUCUUCUGGGACUCAAACUAUAUGUACAUUAGACAGCUUACUAUUUUCCCACAAAUUUCUAUGACAUGGUUUAUUUUUCUCAGUAUUUUUUCUCUUUUUGCUUUACUUUACAGGGUUUCUAUUUUUUUUUAAUUUUAUUUUAGGGUCAGGGAUACAAGUGAAGGUUUGUUACACAGGUAAACUCGUGUCACAGGGUUUUGUUGUAAAGAUUAUUUCAUCACCUAGGAAUUAAGCCCCAUACCAAUAAUUAUCUUUUCUGCUCCUCUCCCUCCUCCUACCCUUCACUGUCAAGUAGGCACCAGUGUCUGUGGUUCCCCUCUAUGUGUCCACAUGUUCUAAUCAUUUCACUCCCACUUAUAAAUAAGAACAUGCAGUAUUUGGUUUCCCUUGAAGUUACUGUAUUUACUCACCCCUUCCAUUCCUCUCCAUGAGAGCCACCCACACUAGCUGCUUUGAGUCAGCCAUCUUGGUCCUCUUUCCUAUGUUUUUCAUAUACAUGUAAAAAUUAACUACUUUGCAUUGUGGUAUCUGUUAGUGUAUUUCUAUGCAAAUGUAAAAAUGUUCUCUAUGUGGGUGAUAUAACACAUAAAAGUAUUCCUUACAAAUAACUCUAUGGCUGCCGUUUCAAAUGACAAUAUCGAGUGGGUAGGGGAUGGAGUUGAGUAAGCUGUGUUUACUAAACAAAAAGAUACUUAUUAGGGUAUCUACUUCCAAGUCUACCCUUUGGUGCAUUACUUAUUUAUAUCUAUGCCAACUAAAAACAUGGUCAUAGUUUUAAUCACACAAGACUAUGACUUCUAGAUUUUAACCCCUGGGACCUUAUUCUAUCAUGUCUUAAUGUAAAAGCUUAACAUUGGUCUAGGCACUUAAUAGAUGUGUGAUAAAGGAAGAAUGAAUCCUUAAAGCAGGGGAAAGAUACAAUCUAUUCAAAGUAAACUUCUGUUUUUCUGCUCAUUUCUCCUUUGAAAGUGUAAGCUAUAUGGAGGCAUCUUUAUCUCCCACUACGUUUUCUGAUUCAGAUGCAUAUAUAGCAGGCCUCGGAGAUAUUGCAAGUUUGGUUUCAGACCAUUGCAAUAAAGCAAAUAUCACAAUAAAGCAAGUCACAUUUUUUUGGUUUCCUAGCACAUAGAAAAGUUAUCUUUAUACUAUACUUUAAAUCUGUUAAGUGUGCAAAAAAGUAAAUAUAUAUCAAUUAAAAAUAAUUUAUUGUUAAAAACUACUGACACAGAGACAUGAAGUGAACACAUGAUGUUGGAUAAAUGGUGACAACAGACAUGCUUAAUGCAGGGUCACUACAAACCUUCAAUUUGUAAAAAUAUGCAAUAUUUGCAAAGCACAAUAAAGUGUGAUGCACAAUAAAAUUAAGUAUGCUUGUAUAAAGGAAGGGGCGAAUUAACUGGAAAAUGCAAUCUACUCAACAACCCUUCGCACUGAUUAGGGUGUUUAAUUUGCACCUUCUUUCCCAUGGGAGUAUGGAGCUCCAUGUAAAGCAACUUAAUGAUUAUUUUCAGUAAAUACAGGUGACUAUGACUAUAAACAGGCUCUGUCUCCAUUAAUAAGAGAAUGCAGUAUCCCGAGUCCAAAGUCAUUGUAUUUAAUGAAUACAACUGACUGUAAUGAUUUAUUCGUAGAUUUAUCAGUGAUUAUAAAUUAUUUUUAUAAGCUUUGUUCAAACCACACAAAGCACAAAAAUAAAUCAUCUCAAGAUUCACUUUUAUAAAUUGAAAAAAAUAAAAUUUGCCAAAGACUUUACAACACUUGGAAUGAAAAUAAUCACUAAAUAAAGUUUAACCAUGUGGCUUUUACCAAAUUAGAAACAUAUUUUUUUAAGUCAGGAAAUAUUGAGCGAUAGCAUUCCAAGCACCAUAUUCCACUCUCAAUGGAACAUUACAAGUCAAACUAUUGUUAAUUAUACGGAAUGAUAUGUUGACGUAAAAAGAACCUUGGGUGUUCUCACUGAAAGAAAAUUAAGUUGCCAUUUUUUUUUGUAGUGAGUUUACAUCUUCUUCCAUAGUAUUGAACAAUAUCACAAAUAGGAAAAUAAGAUGCCUUGAAUGAUAACGUCCUCUUGUGAAAACAUCAAAAUAACAUGUAGUAAUGGAUACGGUUGUAUUUCCUAAGUCUUUGCUUUGAAAUUUGCAAAUCCCAACUCAUAAAUGGCUUGUAAAUAAUUGAUUCAGAAAUCUGUU
Long non-coding RNA from Homo sapiens (human), 5189 nucleotides. Ensembl annotates it as long intergenic non-protein coding RNA 2552. NCBI's taxonomy places the organism in Eukaryota, Metazoa, Chordata, Mammalia, Primates, Hominidae. The record is from Ensembl.